RNAcentral lists this transfer RNA (74 nucleotides) under Nitrospinota bacterium. RNAcentral's name for it is "tRNA-Gln". It matches the Rfam family "tRNA". From Rfam's summary of the family: Transfer RNA (tRNA) molecules are approximately 80 nucleotides in length. Their secondary structure includes four short double-helical elements and three loops (D, anti-codon, and T loops). Further hydrogen bonds mediate the characteristic L-shaped molecular structure. tRNAs have two regions of fundamental functional importance: the anti-codon, which is responsible for specific mRNA codon recognition, and the 3' end, to which the tRNAs corresponding amino acid is attached (by aminoacyl-tRNA synthetases). tRNAs cope with the degeneracy of the genetic code in two manners: having more than one tRNA (with a specific anti-codon) for a particular amino acid; and 'wobble' base-pairing, i.e. permitting non-standard base-pairing at the 3rd anti-codon position. The record is from RNAcentral. Lineage: Bacteria; Pseudomonadati; Nitrospinota.
UGGCCACUCGUCUAAGGGUAGGACAGCAGAUUCUGGAUCUGCUUAUCGAGGUUCGAAUCCUUGGUGGCCAGCCA